This 347-nucleotide ribosomal RNA is filed under the name uncultured bacterium. RNAcentral's name for it is "bacterial SSU rRNA". It matches the Rfam family "Bacterial small subunit ribosomal RNA", at positions 1 to 334 of the family's 1533-position model. The record is from RNAcentral.
GUGAGUAGUUCAGAGUUUGAUCCUGGCUCAGGAUGAACGCUAGCGGCAGGCUUAACACAUGCAAGUCGAGGGGCAGCAUGACGGAACUUUCGGGUUUUGUUGAUGGCGACCGGCGCAAGGGUGCGUAACGCGUGAGCAACUUGCCCGUUUCUGGGGAAUAACCGUUGGAAACGACGACUAAUACCCCAUGGUAUCAGUUUUAGGCAUCUAAAUCUGAUUAAAGAAUUUCGGAAACGGAUAGGCUCGCGUGACAUUAGCUAGAUGGCGGGGUAACGGCCCACCAUGGCGACGAUGUCUAGGGGUUCUGAGAGGAAGGUCCCCCACACUGGAACUGAGACACGGUCCAG